UGGUGUGUGAAGAAACUACUGACUGAAGUCCACAAGAAGAUGAUGAUGGAGGAAGAGAAGGACAGAGCAGAGUCUGCAGGAUCCAGAUGUCCGUCUGUGAGGAGUGACCGUUCCAAAGGUCACCCUCUAGCUUUUAGUGCUGAACCUGGACCAACGAGGUAUGAGAACUGAACUCACUGAGUUAACAGAAAUAAUUCUGCACUGACAUUAUAAUUAGUGUUGAUUCUGGUUGAUUUUCUGACUGUGUUUCUGAGCUGAGAGGAAAUGAAAAUGAGUUUGUAACAAAAAUUAGUUUUGUCCAGUUUUCCUGUAAAAAGCUGAACUCUAAUCUAAGAGGAUGUUACUGACAGGAAACAGCUGCAUUAUCUGCAGUCUGUG
Molecule: long non-coding RNA, 378 nt
Organism: Oreochromis niloticus (Nile tilapia)
Lineage: Eukaryota; Metazoa; Chordata; Actinopteri; Cichliformes; Cichlidae
Exons: 3
Source: RefSeq, a predicted model, not a curated record